GCUGUUGUGGCUAAGUGGUAAAGCAUUCGACUUGUAGUCAGCCAACGUGCGAUCGAAAGAUCCCCAGUUCGAACCUGGGCAACAGCU
RNAcentral lists this transfer RNA (87 nucleotides) under Seminavis robusta. It matches the Rfam family "tRNA". From Rfam's summary of the family: Transfer RNA (tRNA) molecules are approximately 80 nucleotides in length. Their secondary structure includes four short double-helical elements and three loops (D, anti-codon, and T loops). Lineage: Eukaryota; Bacillariophyta; Bacillariophyceae; Naviculales; Naviculaceae. The record is from Rfam by way of RNAcentral.